GCACCGGUGAUCCAGCGGCGAAGACACCGCUCUCGUACAGCGGCGACGAGGGUUCGAGUCCCUCCCGGUGCU
This 72-nucleotide transfer RNA is filed under the name Rhodopirellula sp. Its description in RNAcentral is "tRNA-Thr". It matches the Rfam family "tRNA". Rfam says of the family: Transfer RNA (tRNA) molecules are approximately 80 nucleotides in length. Their secondary structure includes four short double-helical elements and three loops (D, anti-codon, and T loops). Further hydrogen bonds mediate the characteristic L-shaped molecular structure. tRNAs have two regions of fundamental functional importance: the anti-codon, which is responsible for specific mRNA codon recognition, and the 3' end, to which the tRNAs corresponding amino acid is attached (by aminoacyl-tRNA synthetases). tRNAs cope with the degeneracy of the genetic code in two manners: having more than one tRNA (with a specific anti-codon) for a particular amino acid; and 'wobble' base-pairing, i.e. permitting non-standard base-pairing at the 3rd anti-codon position. The record is from RNAcentral. Lineage: Bacteria; Pseudomonadati; Planctomycetota; Planctomycetia; Pirellulales; Pirellulaceae.